UACGGAGGGAGCUAGCGUUGUUCGGAAUUACUGGGCGUAAAGCGCACGUAGGCGGCUCAGCAAGUCAGGGGUGAAAUCCCGGGGCUCAACCCCGGAACUGCCCUUGAAACUGCUAAGCUAGAAUCCUGGAGAGGCGAGUGGAAUUCCGAGUGUAGAGGUGAAAUUCGUAGAUAUUCGGAAGAACACCAGUGGCGAAGGCGACUCGCUGGACAGGUAUUGACGCUGAGGUGCGAAAGCGUGGGGAGCAAACGGG
This 253-nucleotide ribosomal RNA is filed under the name uncultured bacterium. Its description in RNAcentral is "partial 16S ribosomal RNA". It matches the Rfam family "Bacterial small subunit ribosomal RNA", at positions 524 to 776 of the family's 1533-position model. The record is from RNAcentral.